CCUACGGGAGGCAGCAGUAGGGAAUAUUGCGCAAUGGAGGAAACUCUGACGCAGCGACGCCGCGUGGGUGAUGAAGGCCUUCGGGUCGUAAAGCCCUGUC
Molecule: ribosomal RNA, 100 nt
Filed under: uncultured Bdellovibrio sp.
Lineage: Bacteria; Pseudomonadati; Bdellovibrionota; Bdellovibrionia; Bdellovibrionales; Pseudobdellovibrionaceae
Description: partial 16S ribosomal RNA
Rfam family: Bacterial small subunit ribosomal RNA
Source: RNAcentral